Molecule: ribosomal RNA, 254 nt
Filed under: uncultured bacterium
Lineage: Bacteria
Description: partial 16S ribosomal RNA
Rfam family: Bacterial small subunit ribosomal RNA
Source: RNAcentral
UACAGAGGGUGCGAGCGUUGUCCGGAAUCACUGGGCGUAAAGGGCGCGUAGGUGGCGGCCCAAGUCCAUGGUGAAAGCUCGAUGCUCAACAUCGAGUCGGCCACGGAUACUGGGUUGCUCGAGCACUGUAGGGGCAGAUGGAAUUCCGGGUGUAGCGGUGGAAUGCGUAGAGAUCCGGAAGAACACCGGUGGCGAAGGCGGCGACCUGGUCCUUUUACUGACGCUGAGGCGCGAAAGCGUGGGGAGCAAACAGG